GACGAACGCUGGCGGCGUGCUUAACACAUGCAAGUCGAACGGAAAGGCCCUGCUUUUGUGGGGUGCUCGAGUGGCGAACGGGUGAGUAACACGUGAGUAACCUGCCCUUGACUUUGGGAUAACUUCAGGAAACUGGGGCUAAUACCGGGUAGGAGCUCCUGCUGCAUGGUGGGGGUUGGAAAGUUUCGGCGGUUGGGGAUGGACUCGCGGCUUAUCAGCUUGUUGGUGGGGUAGUGGCUUACCAAGGCUUUGACGGGUAGCCGGCCUGAGAGGGUGGCCGGCCACAUUGGGACUGAGAUACGGCCCAGACUCCUACGGGAGGCAGCAGUGGGGAAUAUUGCACAAUGGGCGGAAGCCUGAUGCAGCAACGCCGCGUGCGGGAUGACGGCCUUCGGGUUGUAAACCGCUUUCGCCUGUGACGAAGCGUGAGUGACGGUAAUGGGUAAAGAAGCACCGGCUAACUACGUG
RNAcentral lists this ribosomal RNA (468 nucleotides) under uncultured bacterium. Its description in RNAcentral is "partial 16S ribosomal RNA". It matches the Rfam family "Bacterial small subunit ribosomal RNA", at positions 28 to 507 of the family's 1533-position model. The record is from RNAcentral.